RNAcentral lists this ribosomal RNA (467 nucleotides) under uncultured bacterium. RNAcentral describes it as "partial 16S ribosomal RNA". It matches the Rfam family "Bacterial small subunit ribosomal RNA", at positions 28 to 507 of the family's 1533-position model. The record is from RNAcentral.
GACGAACGCUGGCGGCGUGCUUAACACAUGCAAGUCGAACGGAAAGGCCUCUUUCGGGGGGUACUCGAGUGGCGAACGGGUGAGUAACACGUGAGUAACCUGCCCUUGACUUUGGGAUAACUUCAGGAAACUGGGGCUAAUACCGGAUAGGAGCUCCUGCUGCAUGGUGGGGGUUGGAAAGUUUCGGCGGUUGGGGAUGGAUUCGCGGCUUAUCAGCUUGUUGGUGGGGUAGUGGCUUACCAAGGCUUUGACGGGUAGCCGGCCUGAGAGGGUGACCGGCCACAUUGGGACUGAGAUACGGCCCAGACUCCUACGGGAGGCAGCAGUGGGGAAUAUUGCACAAUGGGUGGAAGCCUGAUGCAGCAACGCCGUGUGCGGGGUGACGGCCUUCGGGUUGUAAACCGCUUUCGCUCAUGACGAAGCUUUGUGUGACGGUAGUGGGUAAAGAAGCACCGGCUAACUACGUG